UCCUCCCCCCAUUACCGCCCUCCCCCAACAAUCACGUUCACUGGGGGUUCAGUCUUAGCAGGACCAAGGGCUACCACUUCCACUGGUGCUCUUACUAGGAUAUUCAUUGCUACCUAAAGCGGUUCAUUUCUUAACCAUCCACAUUUGUUAUAUAGUAUUCCAACUGUAAGAUGUUAGCAUACAGUUACAGCUGCCCAUUGGCUUGGUUGCCACUUUAUGCUCCACUUUUACAAUCUGUCUGUCUGUCUGACAUGCCUGUUAAGACAGUUGCAUAGGAAAAUGGGAUCACUGUUAUGGUGAUAUUUCAAGUGUUAGAAGCUAUAUGCAAAUUCCUCAGCUUCGACCUGAAUGUUAUACAUGUCAAGAACACAAUAGCCAUGGGAAGAAAAAUGAGGAGGAGGAAGACGAGAACAAGAGGGAGGAAGAGCCUGCCAUCACCCUCUCCUUACGGCUUCAACCCCAGCUGCCCACCUUGAGGACUCCGUUGUUGGUGAAUGGGGCACUGGAAGUGCUUCCCACCGUCUCUGGGCCUCAGCGAUAAUGUACUUCGAGAGGAGGCUGAUUGCGCCGACUGAAAUCCAUCCUGGCCAAAGGCUGCAGCUGUUUCCAUUUACAGCCUGUAUUUUUGGAGCUCGUGCCUGUUCCAGGGAAGGAUGGGAUAAUUGAUUUAAAUCAAAUUAUGAAACAUGAUACUCUGAAUUCCU
Rattus norvegicus (Norway rat) is the source of this 704-nucleotide non-coding RNA. The record is from RefSeq and is a predicted model, not a curated record. NCBI's taxonomy places the organism in Eukaryota, Metazoa, Chordata, Mammalia, Rodentia, Muridae.